GAUGAAGAACGUAGCGAAAUGCGAUAAGUAAUGUGAAUUGCAGAAUUCAGUGAAUCAUCGAAUCUUUGAACGCACAUUGCGCCCGCCAGUAUUCUGGCGGGCAUGCCUGUUCGAGCGUCAUUUCAACCAUCAAGCCCCCGGGCUUGUGUUGGGGACCUGCGGCUGCCGCAGGCCCUGAAAAGCAGUGGCGGGCUCGCUGUCACACCGAGCGUAGUAGCAUACAUCUCGCUCUGGGCGUGCUGCGGGUUCCGGCCGUUAAACCACCUUUUAACCCAAGGUUGACCUCGGAUCAGGUAGGAAGACCCGCUGAACUUAAGCAUAUCAAUAAGCGGAGGA
RNAcentral lists this unclassified non-coding RNA (336 nucleotides) under soil metagenome. RNAcentral describes it as "partial contains 5.8S ribosomal RNA, internal transcribed spacer 2, and large subunit ribosomal RNA". The stretch from base 1 to 120 matches the Rfam family "5.8S ribosomal RNA", at positions 35 to 154 of the family's 154-position model. The record is from RNAcentral.